AACUGCUCUGAGGAUUCUGUAACUACUGAAGGCACUUCACGAUUCACAGCUGAGCCUUUGGUUGAUUACUCGGACACCGAAGAUGAAGUUUUGUGUUCUAAAAUUAAGACAUCUUAUAAAAAGAGAUCUGUGAUUCAUGAUGAUUCGGAUGAUCUCUUUGAAAAUUCGAGUGUAAAUGGUAAAGAUGACCAAGACAUUCAACGUGACGUCAGACGGAAUCAUGCAUCAUUUGCAAUGAGUGAACAACAUUCCGCUUGUACCACAGCAUCCAAAAGAGCAAAAAACACAAGAGUAAGUGUUAAUUAUUUAAAUAGCUUAAAUAAAGGGUUUCCGCGGGGUCAUAAAAAGUCAUAAAUUUAACCAUAAGAAUUUAAGGCCAUAAAAGUCAUAAAAACGUCCGGAUUUUCCAUACAAUGUCAUAAAAAAACAUUUAGCCACGUCUUAAAUUGAUAUGCUAGUCCAUUAAUUUGUUCUUCCAUCAAAAUACGCUCGCAGCAGCAAUGGCAUUCAUUUGUUUGACCUGUUGUAGUUCUGUAUGAGGAAUCUGGGUGGUAUCACACUGGUAUCACAGCGUUCCAGAACUACAAGGUCCAUGCGGCAGCAUACAGACUUGUCAGAAGGACUUUCACAGAAACCCGCGCGAACUCCGAACAUACUGUGUCAUACUGAGUCACUGCUUAGCUUAAUUGAAAUCAUCCUGGCUAUCACAAUGGUAAAAUGUACCUUUAAUGAUCCAUGGUUCGGAGACGGUGCGUUUAGCAGCUGGCUCAAGCCCGUCACUAACAAUCGGUAUCAAGCAUCGAUCCAUACACAAGACGCGGAAAAGGUUAACCGAUUAGCUGGUAACUAUCGCGCUGUGUUCGGUGCGGAGAGAGAGAGAGAGAGCCGCGUAUCACGGACAGUCCCUCCUGCACAUGAACCAACAAAUACUAAUCACAGUUUUGAACAAACAAAAGGACGUGAAAGAGCCCAAUUCAGUACCACGGUGUUCAGGUGUUCAGGGGUUCAGGGUUCACGCUGAGAAAGGCGUCUAAAAACACUUGUACACCGAAUUUGCUUCUUUUUGCUCUUGUGCCGACAAAUACAUAGCCUACAAAAUAUAUCAAAAUA
Long non-coding RNA from Carassius auratus (goldfish), 1110 nucleotides. RefSeq lists it as uncharacterized. NCBI's taxonomy places the organism in Eukaryota, Metazoa, Chordata, Actinopteri, Cypriniformes, Cyprinidae. The record is from RefSeq and is a predicted model, not a curated record. The transcript is spliced from 3 exons.